CACCAUGAGAAAGCGACUUCAGAGGUGGUAUUCUGGCUGUGGCACCUGCUCCUGGAGGAUCAGCUGUCCCAGGACAUGCUGGGGCCAGACAGGGCAGGGGCGGUGGCGGCUGAAUGAGUCUGGCCUGAGAUUCAAUCGGGUGACCUGGGCACAGUUGAGUUUUAUCAGGUAUCUGUUAAGCACCUACUCCUUGUCAGCAUUGUGGUCUGUGCUAAAAAAGCACCGAAGAAUGAGAUAGACUUGAUCAAACCCUUCCUGAAGCUUACUGAAGAAGAAAGAUUCAACUGACAAGCCUGUGAGUCCUAAAAGAAGAAAUGCAGAUUGCUAAGGCAGCAAGGAUUGGGGACUUCACUGAAUCUUGGGGGGUCAAGAAGGGGUCCCCAGAAAGGUGAUGCUCUUGCAGAGACUUGAUGCACAUAAAAGGAGCUUGGGACUUUGGAAGUGGUUUUAAACAUCAGUUCUUGCACCCUCUGCCUGGGAUCGUUUUCUCACCAACACCUGCUGGCUUUGAAUGAAACUCCCUCCCCCUUUAGGGAACUUAUGCAGCUGAAGAGAAAUGGAUGCUGGGAACUGCUUCCAGGGACCUGGAAAUUGAUGAAGACACACACAAGGUAACGGACACGGGGCCAGCUGCGACAUUUUCUGUGUGCCUUAAUGAGGAGUGCUGGGGCUGUGCUACUAAGAGCUGAACUCUUGGCCCAGCUCACCCGGCUGAAGGAGAAGGGGGAGAAGCUGGCAGACUGCGGCGCUUUGUGAGGAGAAAACAAAUGGGCCUGUAACUUGAUCGAGGUGGCGAGGGGAGGCGGCCAGGGCUCUAGGGAUGAAGAAUAGCUUCUCAGAGUAUUGUCAGGGGGAGGAGGCAGCCAGCAGAGCUGACUGCGGGGCUGGCGCGUGGUCUGCCAGCUUGAGCAUCCUUGGGCUGCCAUGCCCACCUGUCUGGAGCACCUUCUAUGGGUCAGGGACAUUUGCAGAGGGUAGGAGGUAGUCCUUGCAGCAACCGCACCUGGUGAGGAGUAUUUCUACCCCUGUUUUCUAGAUGAGACUCCUGAGGCUCAGAGAAGUGAAGUAGCUUGCCUGAGGCCACACAGCCAGUCAGUGGUGAAGGCAGGGCUUAUAUCCAGCUCUGUAUGUCUUUAGAGUGAUAUUUCUUCCACUGUCUCUUGCUGCCUGACAAUUUUGGGGGGCAAUGGUUCCUUCUGAAUUUUCUACAUGUAAUAAUGACAGUAAGAAUCCCUUUCAAGGGAUAUAUUUCACAAAGAGUCCUCUUGCAAAUGCCAUUUCACAGCGUCUUUAUAGUGUUUUCCCUUUGAGGUGAAAUGUUAUCCUCAAAUUUGAGCUGAGGACAUAGAAACACAGCCAGGCGGGCAGCUCCCCUAAAUGCCACUCAGCAAGGAGCUGAGACUGGCGAGGCCAAAUGGCAGGCACUUGCUACCAUUGUAUGGAGACCCAGGUGGGCUCCUCCAGUGUUCGACGAGAGCCAGAGUAUCUCCCACUCCUUCAAAUGAGAAGCCCAAGAACAAACAGUUUGUUUUUCUAACACGCUCAGAGCCUCUGCUUUGUUUCUAACCUUUGAUAAAGCCAGCAGCCCAAAUCCCCUUUCCUGUGCCCCUCCUCCCGAGAAAGGGAUGGCCAGCCAUGUGUAUUUUUCACUGGGGCUCUCACAAAGAAUGCUGCAUAUAAUAUGAAACAUGUGUCAUGGUGUUUGCUGGAGGGCCCCACCCCAUGCCCUUCCCUGCACUGUGGGAGCCUCCGGUGUGGGGGGAUGGGAGGGGGUCGGAGCCCCAGACACCUAGAGCAUUUCUCCCGGAACCGGAACUGCCCCCACCUGCAGGCAGAGCUGGUACCCAGCUCCAUCAUCCAUCUCAUCUCACUUCCCCAUUGGAGACCUUGUCACCCCACGUUUGCGUUUCUGGCAAUGUGUUGUGAGCCCGGCCUCAAACUCAGAUGUGUGAAUUUCAGCUGGAAACGUACAUGGGCUGCGCUCAAUAACAUCUGUGGGGUAAAUUAUAGGGUGAAUAGGGGAUGAACCGCUCUUCCUCCCAUCUCCCGGAAGUUGGCGCGCUGUGAUAUUGCUGAAGGAAAGAAUAAGUGCUCUGUGAUGGGGCUGUCACUAUUUUUGCCAUUCCCUUCUUAGGAGACAGGAUUGUUGGGAGCCCUGGUCCUUGAACCGGGAGCAGGUGUUAGAAUCACCUGUAGGCUCGUUAAAGCAUAGAUGGCUAGCCCCACCCCUCAGGGUGUAUUUUUGCAUCUUUAACACGUUCCUGGUGGAUGAGAUGCUGCUGCUUCAGGGGCGUGGGAGCUCAGAUGGUCUUUUUCAAGUGGGGUGCGGAUGGAGCCCAAGAGAAAAAAGAAACAGAAGAGAGAGUGACUGUCUGGUGGUGUGGUGUCUGAUGGUGUCUCAAGGGCACAGGGAUCAGCAUAGACCAGAGCCACCAGGACGGGCCUCCUGGAUGUGUGGUGGUGAAGGACGCAAGGGAUUUGGAAAGUAAAAGGAAGGAGAGCUUUGGGCGCAGGCCGGUGCGGAGGCAGUGUUGAGAUGAGACCAGCCUGCAGAGGGAGGGGGACGAAAACAACCUUCCUCAUCAGGGUUGCCUGGAGUUUACACUCUCCAAACCCCCUGCACAGAGCCCAGACAGCCUGGCAGGGCAGGGGUCACCUUCCCAUCUCCAAGGAGGAAACCAGCACAGGGGGUCAUGGGAAUUGAGGAAGGAGGGCCCAGGGCCACAAGCUUUGGCAGCUUAUUCUCUUACAACGGGUUGACCUUUCCCCUGUUUGAAAGCUCUUUGCAGCUGCUUUCCCCAGGGUGAGCAAUGCAGUCUAAGCCUUGGCAGGAAUCAUGGUUUCUCUCACCUGAUUUUUUUUCUUGUUCCAGUUUGCACUUACAAAUGUCAUCAACACAGAAACCACUGUUGCCCUCCUUACGCCAUUGGCUGGUGACUGUCUCCUCUUCCUGGUUCCUAAAACCUAUGAGGGUCACCCCAUAGCCCUGGAGAAGAGGAGGGAAUGGAGAAAUCUGGACUGAAAAUUCACCCUGUAUCAGCACCACGUUUGGCAUGUUUAUACAGGAGAUCUCACUUAGCCUACAGAGCCCAGGGCAUGUAGAGACAAGGUCGCUGAAGCUCAUGCUGAGGGUAAAGCUCAGGCUCAAGGUUAAACCCCUAGCUUGAGCUCUUGUUGUUAGCUGGUGGAGCUGAUAUCCAGCCUCCAAUCUGUUUGAGUUCAGAUGAGCCAAAUAAAUAGCUGGUUAUAAAAGGCCAGAAACUGGAGCCUUACCUGAUAUCAGUGCACACUGGGAAAAGGUUUCCAGAACACCCUGUGCUGUUUUUGCAGGGUCACACCUUUGCACAUGCUGGCCUCCUUUCCAAACUUUCCAGCCUCUCCUGCACUCAAGCUCCCCUUCAUCCUUCAAGCAGCCCCAUGAUGCCUCUGAGGUCCCCCACCUGCAGAGGUGCCUCUCUUCCAAGUUCCCCUUUCUUGUAUUUCUCCUUAACAUGGAAUUUAGCACCAUCUAUCAUAAUGGGUGUUUUCUUGGGCUUUUUUUCAACUGACUCUAAACUCAACUGCAUAUGUCUUUUUGAAUUACAGUUUUCUCUGGAUAUACGCCCUGAAGUGAGAUUGCUGGAUCAUAUGGCAAAUCUAUUUUUAGUUUUUUGAGUAUUCUCCAUACUGUUUUCCAUAGUGGCUGUACCAGUUUACAUUUCCACCAGCAGUGUAGGAGGGUUCCCUUUUCUCCACAUCCUGUCCAGCAUUUAUUAUUUGUAGAUUUUUAAAAUGGUGGCUAUUCCGACUGGAGUGAGGUGGUACCUCAUUAUAGUUUUGAUUUGCAUUUCUCUAAUAAUUAGUGAGGGGGUUCCCGUUGUGGCUCAGUGGAAACAAAACUGGCUAGUAUCCAAGAGGAUUCAAAUUUGAUCCCUGUCCCCUUUCAGUGGAUUAAGGAUCUGGCGUUGCUGUGAGCUGCAAUGAAGUUUGCAGAUGCAGCUCAGAUGUGGCGCUGUGGCUGUGGCUGUGGCUGUGGCGUAGGCUAGCAGCUGCAGCUCCGAUUUGACCCCUAGCCUAGGAACUUCCAAAUACCAUGGGUGCGGCCCUAAAAAGACAAAAAUAAUUAGUGAUGUUGAGCAUCGCUUCAUGUGCCUAUUGGCCAUCUGUAUGUCUUCUUUGGAGAAAUGUCUAUUUAGGUCUUUUUGCCCAUUUUUUGAUUGGGUUGUUUUUUUGGUGUUGAGUUGUAUGAGCUGUUUGUAUAUUUUGGAAAUUAAGCCCUUGUGAGUUACAUUAUUUUGCAAAUACUUUCUCCAAGUCUGUAGGUUGUUUUCUUCAUUUUGUUUAUAGUUUCCUUUGCUGUAUGAAAGCUUAUAAAUUUGAUUAUGUCUCAUUUGUUUGUAUUUGAUUUUAUUUCUAUUGCCUUGGGAAACUGACCUAAGAAAACAUUGCUACGAUUUAUGUCAGGAAAUGUUUUGCUUAUGUUCUCUUCUAGGAGUUUUAUCGUGUCAUGUCUUAUAUUUAAGUCUUUAGGCCAUUUUGAGUUUAUUUUUGUGUACAUUGUGAGGGUGUGUUCUAACUUCAUUGAUUUACGUGCAGCUGUCCAACUUUCCCAAUACCACUUGCUGAAGAGACCCUUUUUUCCAUUGUAUAUUCCUGCCUCCUUUGUUGAAGAUUAAUUGACUGUAGGUGUGUGGGUUUAUUUCUGGGCUAUUUUGUUUCAUUGAUCCAUAUGACUCUUUCUGUGCCAAUACCGUGCUGUUUUGAUUACUGUAGCUUUAAAGUAUUGUCUGAAGUCUGGAAAGGUUAUGCUUCCUGCUUUCUUCUUGUUCCUCAAGAUUGCUUUGGCAAUUCUGGGUCUUUUAUGGUUCCAUAUAACUUUUAGGAUCAUUCUAGUUCAAUGAAAAAUGUCAUGGGUAAUUUGAUAGGGAUUGCAUUAACUCUGUAGUUUGCUUUGGGUAGUAUGUCAACUGCCCAGAUUUUCUAUUUAGAAUUUGUGUUACUCUCUGAUGAUCAACCCUGGAGACUGCUAACCACCUGCCUGAUACCCAUUCUCUUCAUCUUGCAUACUGAUUUUAGUGAAUUGGAGAGUGCAAGAUGCCCAGUUAAAAAGGACAUUUCCCAGCCUCCUUAGAAGCAAGGGGUGGCCCUGUGACUAGGUAUUGGCCAAAUGAGAUAGAAGAUGAAGUUUUGGGGUGGGAUGUGGGGAAAGCCCCUUAAAAAGGGAAGGGGAUAUGGAAGACAUAGGUUUUUUUAAAAAAUUUUCCUUUUAGAACAGAACAUGAUGAUAAUAGAAUUGCAGAAGCAAUCUUGGACUAUGAGAGAACUUUGAGGGUAGAUGUAUGCUGAGGAUGGAGGAGCAGAAAGAUGGAAGGCGCUGGGGUUCUUAAAGGCCAUAGAUCCUAAGUUGCCUUCUUCUGGACCUCUUCCAUGAGAAAAAAAUAGACUUCUAUUUUUGUUUAAGUCAUUCUUAUCAGUUUCUGAUUAUUUAUGUGAAGAUGCAGGAAGGAAAGUAAGGUGUCAUCAGUUCUGGGCCUGGUGGGCUAGGAUGUUUUCAGAAAUAGAGUCCAGAAAGCUGCCAGAGGUAGUGCCUGCCUGAAUGGGGGUGCCUGUGGGCCAGAGGGCAGCUCGUGGCUGUGGGGUCCUGGUUCUCUCACCAGCACCACCUCCCACCCAGCUCCACCGAGUAGGAACAAGGCAGGACUUGGAGACUGGGGAGGGUGGGAGUGGGGGGUGGGCACAGCCACCUUGGGCUCAUCUCAGCAUUGCAUUUGGGGACUUUGAAUGGACUUCAGAGACCCAGAGUCUCUGUCAGACCUGAGGGUUGUCUACCCAGCAGCCACUUCUGUGAUGGUUUUGUUGUCAAAACACUGAUUUUGCUGCUCAAUUUGGUAACUCCUUUUCCUUUUUCCUGAUGUGUUUAGAAAAGGGACGUAUGAUCCUUCGUCAUGUCCCUGCCCACCCCCUUAUGAAAUACAAGGGGCUUGUCUGAGAAAGUUCUCCAUACUCUCUUCCUAAGAAGCAGCUCAAGACAAACCCUGAUCGUCUCUUGCCUUUGGGCAUUACUGAGUGAAUGUGUGAAGUUUGGAGUCACAGGAGUUCUCUUAACACCAUUAGAAAAAAAAAAUCAGGAGUUUCCGUCGUGGCGCAGUGGUUAACGAAUCCGACUAGGAACCAUGAGGUUGCGGGUUCGGUCCCUGCCCUUGCUCAGUGGGUUAACGAUCCGGCGUUGCCGUGAGCUGUGGUGUAGGUCGCAGACGCGGCUCAGAUCCUGCGUUGCUGUGGCUCUGGUGUAGGCUGGUGGCUACAGCUCCGAUUCAACCCCUAGCCCGGGAACCUCCAUAUGCCGCAGGAGCGGCCCAAGAAAUGGCAAAAAGACAAAAAAAAAAAAAAAAAAAA
This 6375-nucleotide long non-coding RNA is filed under the name Sus scrofa (pig). RNAcentral's name for it is "lncRNA (ENSSSCG00050065606.1)". The record is from RNAcentral. Lineage: Eukaryota; Metazoa; Chordata; Mammalia; Artiodactyla; Suidae.